UGGCCCUUACGGUAGGGCUACACACGUGCUACAAUGGCGCAUACAGAGGGCGGCCAACUUGCGAAAGUGAGCGAAUCCCAAAAAGUGCGUCGUAGUCCGGAUUGGAGUCUGCAACUCGACUCCAUGAAGUCGGAAUCGCUAGUAAUCGUGGAUCAGAAUGCCACGGUGAAUACGUUCCCGGGCCUUGUACACACCGCCCGUCACACCAUGGGAGUGGGCUGCAAAAGAAGUAGGUAGUUUAACCUUCGGGGGGACGCUUACCACUUUGUGGUUCAUGACUGGGGUGAAGUCGUAACAAGGUAGCGCUAGGGGAACCUGGCGCUGGAUCACCUCCUUAUACG
Molecule: small RNA, 341 nt
Filed under: uncultured bacterium
Lineage: Bacteria
Description: bacterial SSU rRNA
Rfam family: Bacterial small subunit ribosomal RNA
Source: RNAcentral